Molecule: ribosomal RNA, 433 nt
Filed under: uncultured bacterium
Lineage: Bacteria
Description: partial 16S ribosomal RNA
Rfam family: Bacterial small subunit ribosomal RNA
Source: RNAcentral
AACGAACGCUGGCGGCAUGCCUAACACAUGCAAGUCGAACGAGACCUUCGGGUCUAGUGUCGCACGGGUGCGUAACGCGUGGGAACCUUCCUUUAUGUUCGGAAUAACUCAGAGAAAUUUGUGCUUAUACCGGAUGAUGUCUUCGGACCAAAGAUUUAUCGCCUUUAGAUGGGCCCGAGUUGGAUUAGCUAGUUGGUGGGGUAAAGGCAUACCAAGGCGACAAUCCAUAGCUUGUCUGAGAGUAUGAUCAGCCACACUGGGACUGAGACACGGCCCAGACUCCUACGGGAGGCAGCAGUGCGGAAUAUUGGACAAUGGGCGAAAGCAUGAUCCAGCAAUGCCGCGUGAGUGAUGAAGGCAUUAGAGUUGUAAAGCUCUUUUAACCGAGAUGAUAAUGACAGUAUCGGGAGAAUAAGCUCCGGCUAACUCCGUG